ACGAACGCUGGCGGCGUGCCUAACACCUGCCAGUCGAACGGAACUGUUUUGAAAGAUUUCUUCGGAAUGAAUUUGAUUUAGUUUAGUGGCGGACGGGUGAGUAACGCGUGAGUAACCUGCCUUCAAGAGGGGAAUAACAUUCUGAAAAGAAUGCUAAUACCGCAUGACAUAUCGGAACCACAUGGUUUUGAUAUCAAAGAUUUUAUCGCUUGAAGAUGGACUCGCGUCCGAUUAGUUAGUUGGUGAGGUAACGGCUCACCAAGACCGCGAUCGGUAGCCGGACUGAGAGGUUGAACGGCCACAUUGGGACUGAGACACGGCCCAGACUCCUACGGGAGACAGCAGUGGGGGAUAUUGCGCAAUGGGGGCAACCCUGACGCAGCAACGCCGCGUGAAGGAUGAAGGUUUUCGGAUUGUAAACUUCUUUUAUUAAGGACGAAAAAUGACGGUACUUAAUGAAUAAGCUCCGGCUAACUACGUG
This 481-nucleotide ribosomal RNA is filed under the name uncultured bacterium. RNAcentral describes it as "partial 16S ribosomal RNA". It matches the Rfam family "Bacterial small subunit ribosomal RNA", at positions 29 to 507 of the family's 1533-position model. The record is from RNAcentral.